GACGAACGCUGGCGGCGUGCUUAACACAUGCAAGUCGAACGGGAAGGCCCUGCUUUGGGGGGGUGCUGUAGGUGCGAACUGGUGAGUAACACGUGAGUAACCUGCCCUUGACUUUGGGAUAACUUCAUGAAACUGGGUGUAAUACCGGAUAAGAGCUCCUGCUGCAGGGUGGGGGUGGGAAAGUUUCGGCGGUUGGGGAUGGACUCGCGGCUUAUCAGCUUGUUGGUUGGGUAGUGUCUUACCAAGGCUUUGACCGGUAGCAGGCCUGGGCGGGUGACCGGACACACCGGAAUUGGGCUGAGGCACAGCCUACUACGGGAGGCAGCAGUGGGGAAUAGUGUACAAUGGGAGGAACCAUGACGUAGCAACGCAGUGCGGCGGAUGACGGCCUGCGCGUUGUAUUCCGCUUCCGUCUGUCACGAAGCGUGAGUGACGGUAAUGGGUAAAGAAGCACCGGCUAACUCCGUG
This 468-nucleotide ribosomal RNA is filed under the name uncultured bacterium. RNAcentral describes it as "partial 16S ribosomal RNA". It matches the Rfam family "Bacterial small subunit ribosomal RNA", at positions 28 to 507 of the family's 1533-position model. The record is from RNAcentral.